GAUGAACGCUAGCUACAGGCUUAACACAUGCAAGUCGAGGGGAAACGACAUCGAAAGCUUGCUUUUGAUGGGCGUCGACCGGCGCACGGGUGAGUAACGCGUAUCCAACCUGCCCACCACUUGGGGAUAACCUUGCGAAAGUAAGACUAAUACCCAAUGAUAUCCCACGAAGACAUCUGAAUGGGAUUAAAGAUUUAUCGGUGAUGGAUGGGGAUGCGUCUGAUUAGCUUGUUGGCGGGGUAACGGCCCACCAAGGCAACGAUCAGUAGGGGUUCUGAGAGGAGGGUCCCCCACAUUGGAACUGAGACACGGUCCAAACUCCUACGGGAGGCAGCAGUGAGGAAUAUUGGUCAAUGGGCGAGAGCCUGAACCAGCCAAGUAGCGUGCAGGAAGACGGCCCUAUGGGUUGUAAACUGCUUUUAUAAGGGAAUAAAGUGGGUCACGUGUGACUUUUUGCAUGUACCUUAUGAAUAAGGACCGGCUAAUUCCGUG
RNAcentral lists this ribosomal RNA (492 nucleotides) under uncultured bacterium. RNAcentral describes it as "partial 16S ribosomal RNA". It matches the Rfam family "Bacterial small subunit ribosomal RNA", at positions 28 to 507 of the family's 1533-position model. The record is from RNAcentral.